GCGCACCAGUCGCGAAACCUUCGCAAUGCGGGAAACCGCGACGAGGGGACUCCUAGUGCCUACGCUCAGCGUAGGCUGUUCCCGGGCCUAGAAAGCUCGGGAGUAAGGGCUGGGUAAGACGGGUGCCAGCCGCCGCGGUAAUACCCGCAGCCCGAGUGGUGGCCACUAUUAUUGGGCCUAAAGCGUCCGUAGCCGGCCCGGUAAAUGCCUGGGUAAAUCGUGAGGCCUAACCUCAC
This 236-nucleotide ribosomal RNA is filed under the name uncultured microorganism. RNAcentral describes it as "partial 16S ribosomal RNA". It matches the Rfam family "Archaeal small subunit ribosomal RNA", at positions 330 to 568 of the family's 1478-position model. The record is from RNAcentral.